Molecule: ribosomal RNA, 864 nt
Filed under: Triticum aestivum (bread wheat)
Lineage: Eukaryota; Viridiplantae; Streptophyta; Magnoliopsida; Poales; Poaceae
Description: partial small subunit ribosomal RNA
Source: RNAcentral
AUGGCCACUUCUCCAGCUUGCGGGCUCUGCGAUGAGGAAGUGGAUACAUGGCGUCAUUCCUUGUUUGAAUGCCGGAUGGCACGAUGUGUUUGGGUGUUGGGAGAUGAGGAGACCCUGGAGCAUGUGAUAUCAAACAUGAGUGAAGAUGCAAGGCUUUGGUUGUGUUGGCUUUUUGACACGAUGAACCAACAGGACCUUGCCAGGGUGCUCAUCACCAUGUGGGCGAUCUGGUGGGCUAGGAGGAGAGCAAUUCACGAUGACGAAUUCCAAAUCCCUCUUUCUACAAUGUGUUUUGUGAACAGAUACUUGGAGGACCUGGAGAUCGCUGCCAAGCGUGCACCAAAGCGACCCUUACAGCCGGUGAUACAAAGGCCGCACAGGUGGAUCCCGCCGGGAGAGGAAGCGAUGAAGAUCAAUGUAGACAGGGCUAUCUCUCGCCAAGGAAGAACAGGUGCAUCGGCUGCGGUGUGUCGGGACAAAGAAGGCAACUACCUGGGAUCUUCAGCGGUGGUUUUUGAAGGUCUAGUCGACGCCCCAAGCUUGGAAGCUCAAGCGUGCAACGAGGCGCUUGCCCUGGCUCAAGAUCUAUUGCUGACACAUGUGAUAAUAGCCUUGGAUUGCAUGCAGGUUGUUUCGGAUAUUAAGGGGGUGGCGUCUUCUUCCUCUUAUACUUUUGUAAUUGAAGAGAUUAAAGCUAGAGUUACAGACUUUGUAGGAGUUAAGUUUCGUUUUGAAGGUAGGGAGGCAAACUUUGAGGCUCAUGCCUUGGCAAAGGCAGCCUCGUCUCUCCCUAUGGGUCACCAUCUGUGGCUAGGGAACCCGCCAGACAUUAUUUGUAUUCCUCUGGCUUUGGUUGAUCAAUAA